AAUUGUUCCUGUCAACACAAAGAAGGCAUAUGACGCGAUCAACAUGUAACCAAAGUACAAUAUGCCUGAAACCAACUUGCUGAUCUCCAACUUGGUGAAGAAAUAGAAAAUAGAGUAGAGAAACAAGUAUAACGCAGAGGAUCCAGCAGUCAGAUAAGCUCUCCACCACCAAUUAUAGUCUUCACUGCACAACUGGAAGUAGCAGAGCACAACAGUUAUCUCUGCACAUGUGAUUAUCAAGAUAACGAAAACAAUGAAGAGGAAGCCAAAGAUGUAGUAGAACUGGUUCAGCCAUAUGGACGUCAAGAUGAAGAAUAGCUCGAUGAAAACAGCUCCAAAAGGAAGGAUGCCCCCAAUAAGUACCGAAAAGGCCGGUUUCAUAUACCAUGCUUGCUCUGGUACUUGCCUAGGGAUUUUGUUCGUCUUGACAGGGUCUUCAAUGGCUGGUUUUUUGUAACCAAGGUAGCUACCAACAAAUACUAAAGGUACUGAAAUCCCAAACCACAAGCACACUAGAGCCAACAUAGUCCCGAAUGGCAAUGCUCCAGAAGAAUGCUCUUCCCAGAUAAGAGCAUUCAGCACAAAGAAGAUGGCAAAAAGUAUUCCAGGGAACAUAAAAGCAGUUUUCAAGGUAAUCCUUUUCCACUCUGUUCCUUUGAACAUUUUGUAGAAACGAGCAGAAGAAUAGCCGGCUAACAAUCCCAUGAAAACCCAUAGUAGAACCAUAGCAGUCAUAAGCCCACCACGAUUCGAAGGUGAUAAGAAACCCAGAAGAGCAAAAAUCAUCGUCACAAGUGUCAUACCAAAUAUUUGGACACCAGUUCCAACAUAAACACACAGUAACCCAGAAUUAGUUGGUG
Molecule: unclassified non-coding RNA, 860 nt
Filed under: Hevea brasiliensis (rubber tree)
Lineage: Eukaryota; Viridiplantae; Streptophyta; Magnoliopsida; Malpighiales; Euphorbiaceae
Source: RNAcentral